RNAcentral lists this ribosomal RNA (478 nucleotides) under uncultured bacterium. Its description in RNAcentral is "partial 16S ribosomal RNA". It matches the Rfam family "Bacterial small subunit ribosomal RNA", at positions 28 to 523 of the family's 1533-position model. The record is from RNAcentral.
GACGAACGCUGGCGGCGUGCUUAACACAUGCAAGUCGAACGGUAAGGUCCUUCGGGGUACACGAGUGGCGAACGGGUGAGUAACACGUGGGUGAUCUGCCCUGCACUUCGGGAUAAGCCUGGGAAACUGGGUCCAAUACCGGAUAGGACCCUGGGAUGCAUGUCCUGGGGUGGAAAGCUUUUGCGGUGUGGGAUGGGCCCGCGGCCUAUCAGCUUGUUGGUGGGGUGAUGGCCUACCAAGGCGACGACGGGUAGCCGGCCUGAGAGGGUGACCGGCCACACUGGGACUGAGAUACGGCCCAGACUCCUACGGGAGGCAGCAGUGGGGAAUAUUGCACAAUGGGCGCAAGCCUGAUGCAGCGACGCCGCGUGAGGGAUGACGGCCUUCGGGUUGUAAACCUCUUUCAGCACCGACGAAGCGCAAGUGACGGUAGGUGCAGAAGAAGGACCGGCCAACUACGUGCCAGCAGCCGCGGUAA